CGAGUCCUACGGGGGGCAGCAGUGGGGAAUAUUGCACAAUGGGGGAAACCCUGAUGCAGCGACGCCGCGUGAGUGAAGAAGUAUCUCGGUACGUAAAGCUCUAUCAGCAGGAAAGAAAAUGACGGUACCUGACUAAGAAGCCCCGGCUAACUACGUGCCAGCAGCCGCGGUAAUACGUAGGGGGCAAGCGUUAUCCGGAUUUACUGGGUGUAAAGGGAGCGUAGACGGCGAAGCAAGUCUGAAGUGAAAACCCAGGGCUCAACCCUGGGACUGCUUUGGAAACUGUUUUGCUAGAGUGUCGGAGG
RNAcentral lists this ribosomal RNA (305 nucleotides) under uncultured bacterium. RNAcentral's name for it is "bacterial SSU rRNA". It matches the Rfam family "Bacterial small subunit ribosomal RNA", at positions 333 to 655 of the family's 1533-position model. The record is from RNAcentral.